Molecule: long non-coding RNA, 1934 nt
Organism: Pleuronectes platessa (European plaice)
Lineage: Eukaryota; Metazoa; Chordata; Actinopteri; Pleuronectiformes; Pleuronectidae
Exons: 3
Source: RefSeq, a predicted model, not a curated record
UGCGUAGGACGUGGGAUCACAUUAGGCACCUACACUGAUGACGCAGCUGUUUGGAUAUAUUUAUUCUCUUGAGGGAGAGGGCCUGAGUUGAGGGGUCGCCUUCAUGUUGCUGACCGGAGCCUGAUUGUGUUCAACUGUGUUACCUUCUGAACAGUAUCUCAGACUGUUUUCCACAGGGUCGGGCCGGUGAUGUUCUCGCUCAUUCCCCCGCCGUCCUCCAGUGGAGAGGAAGUCCCAAGAAAGGAGCAGGUUAUGCAUCCAGCCACACAAGGAGGAGACUGGUGACCUUUCCAAUGUCCCAAAACCACCAGAUGGGUCAUUUCCAAUUCCUCCUGCUUCCAUUUACCCACUGGCUUGUGGCUGAGAAUACCCUGGACUCACGGCAGGGCUGGAAAGGAGAAUCCAAAAAUCUCUAUAGUUACUUCACGAUGAGAAUAACAGGUGAGGUUGAAGGAGGCAAAAACGAUUUGAUUUGCAUAUGAGCUGCCAGAUUCAGGAGUCACACAAGAAGAGCAUCAACUGCCAUGCAAAUGAGAAACAAAUGAGAUUCAAAACUGGGCUGAGGUAAAGGAGUGGUCAGAGAGGGUAGAGCACAGGAGGGGUUUUGUCUAUGCAGCACAAAUGGUAACAUCAGCUAUCCUGCCAUUCGUCCAUACAGCCGUUUGUACUUCUGACUCCAGGCUGAAAGGUCUGUCAAGUUUUCUCCACAACAGCAACAGCAGCUCGCUGUGGAAGGACAAACCAUGACAUCAGAAUAGUAGAAGCAGCCAUGAAGACAAUAGUUCUCUGUGCAGGAGAAGAGCCGAGGCGUGGCCUGGCCGUACAGAGGCUCCUGUCAGUGGAGCAGCGGGCCUCAGCAGCUGUCUCAACCUCUGUCUGUAGCUCUGUCACAUACACUCGUUCAAUCCAUCAUGAAAGCUGACAUGGCAUUAGAACAAAGGAUCAACAGAUUUAUGUUAAAAUCCCUUUACCCCUAUGUAUCACUCCUCUCAAUCUCCCAGUGUGUUUGUGUGUCUCUGUGUGUGUGUGUGUGUGUGUGUGUGUGUGUGUGUGUGUGUGUGUGUGUGUGUGUGUGUUUGUGUCUGUGUGAAAGAGCUUCUCUCUGUUCAUGCUCAGUACCAGCUUAGGAACGCAGGGACGGAGGUGGAGUAGGAGGGAAGCCCCAGAGAAAGAAACAUAGUUCGAACAAACUGGCAAAACAAAGACCCAAUGGACAAAGUGGCCCCCACUGACAGGAGGUCUGGGGUGAUAGUAGCAUAGAUAAAUAUGUGUGUGUGUGUGUGUGUGUGUGUGUGUGAGUGUGCAUAUGUAAACACAUAACACAAAACAUGCAGCCUGCCCAUAUGAUAUCGCUCCAUUUACUCUGUAUUUAUUUGUCUUCUCACAUUUGCCUGAGGAGAUAGAAAAAGGCUUUCUAGACAUGUAGCCGCUGUGCGUCUUGUGCCAGAUAAUCUAAGCCCCUCCGGUGGCGAGCCUUCGUCUUCAAACAGCCGUAAAGGUUUACAGGCCGUGACAGAGAGGAGCGAAGAAGCUCACCACGCAGCUGAAUUUCACACGGGGAGAGGAGAGGGCUGUACGUGAUGGAGUGGAGCCGCUGGAGCCUCACAGACACACAGUCCCUCAGGGACGCACCACCUGGGUUGUCAAAAGGAGUCUGGCCGAGGCCUUCAAAAAAGAAAACAGCUCAAUACGGGAUAUACAAACAGCGGUUGAGCAUCAUUGAGCGUGUAUGAGCAGCGUGUAUCAACACAAAACCCACCUGCCCUUCAGUGGAAGUCUAAUGACAACAAAUGCAACAAAGGCCCUGUGUGGUACGCCCAGCCUCGAGGGGCCGCCACAGCCGUCUAUUCAGCCUGCAUUCACCUGUGAGACGGAUUCACUGGGUUAUUAAAAGCUCUCAUACACAUGGGUUGAUGGCAUUAUGAAUUUGCAUU